RNAcentral lists this microRNA precursor (105 nucleotides) under Canis lupus familiaris (dog). RNAcentral describes it as "mir-8834 microRNA precursor family". It matches the Rfam family "mir-8834 microRNA precursor family". Lineage: Eukaryota; Metazoa; Chordata; Mammalia; Carnivora; Canidae. The record is from Rfam by way of RNAcentral.
AGGAGGAACAACCGCAGUGGCGGCAGCAGCCCUGGAGCCCUGGAGUCAGCUCUGGCAGUAGCUCCGGAGCUCUCCGUCUGCAGGGCCUGGAGGCUCCGGGGCGGG